GUCCACGCCCUAAACGAUGGGUACCAAGUGUCGGCGGGUUACCGCCGGUGCCGCACCUAACGGAGUAAGUACCCCGCCUGGGGAGUACGGCCGCAAGGUUGAAACUCAAAGGAAUUGACGGGGGCCCGCACAAGCGGUGGUGCAUGUGGUUCAAUUCGACGCAACGCGAAAACCUUACCCAGGCUUGACAUGCUCGUGGUAAGAACCGGAAACGGUGAUGACCCUGAAAGGGGAGCGAGCACAGGUGCUGCAUGGCUGUCGU
Molecule: ribosomal RNA, 262 nt
Filed under: uncultured bacterium
Lineage: Bacteria
Description: partial 16S ribosomal RNA
Rfam family: Bacterial small subunit ribosomal RNA
Source: RNAcentral